This 104-nucleotide ribosomal RNA is filed under the name Bifidobacterium longum. Its description in RNAcentral is "partial 16S ribosomal RNA". It matches the Rfam family "Bacterial small subunit ribosomal RNA", at positions 1439 to 1533 of the family's 1533-position model. Lineage: Bacteria; Bacillati; Actinomycetota; Actinomycetes; Bifidobacteriales; Bifidobacteriaceae. The record is from RNAcentral.
CCUUGUGGGAUGGAGCCGUCUAAGGUGAGGCUCGUGAUUGGGACUAAGUCGUAACAAGGUAGCCGUACCGGAAGGUGCGGCUGGAUCACCUCCUUUCUACGGAG